Molecule: ribosomal RNA, 1733 nt
Filed under: Panagrobelus stammeri
Lineage: Eukaryota; Metazoa; Nematoda; Chromadorea; Rhabditida; Panagrolaimidae
Description: SSU rRNA
Rfam family: Eukaryotic small subunit ribosomal RNA
Source: RNAcentral
CUCUAAGAUUAAGCCAUGCAUGUCUAAGUGCAUGUGUUAUACACGAAACCGCGAACGGCUCAUUACAACAGCUUUAACCUACUUGAUUUAGACAUUUAUCUUACAUGGAUAACUGUGGUAAUUCUGGAGCUAAUACAUGCACUAAAAGCCGGCCAGUAAUGGUUGGUUGCACUUAUUAGAACAAAACCAAGCGGCUUUGCCGUUUUUUGUUGACUCUGAAUAAUUCCGCUGAUCGCAUGGUCUUGUACCGGCGACAUGUCAUUCGAGUAUCUGGCUUAUCAACUGUCGAUGGUAGUUUAUUGCACUGCCAUGGUGUUGACGGGUAACGGAGAAUUAGGGUUCGACUCCGGAGAAAUCGCCUGAGAAACGGCGUUUACAUCCAAGGAAGGCAGCAGGCGCGAAAAUUACCCACUCUUAGUACGAGGAGGUAGUGACGAGAAAUGACAAGGCUUACUCCUUAUGGGGUGAGUCAUUGGAAUGGGUACAAUUUAAACCCUUUAACGAUUAUCUAUGAGAGGGCAAGUCUGGUGCCAGCAGCCGCGGUAAUUCCAGCUCUCAUACUGCAUUGAAGUAUUGUUGCGGUUAAAAAGCUCGUAGUUGGAUCUUUACACUUUGACGUGGUCGGCCUUCGGGUUCGUACUGCGCUCAGGUGUUUUAUGCCGGUUUUCUGCUAUCUGUUUUCGGAUGGGUAGUGGUGGCUGGCGAGUUUACUUUGAAUAAAUCGGAGUGCUCAAAACAAGCGUUUUGCUUGAACGAUUUUGCAUGGAAUAAUAGAACAGGACACUGGUUCUUGUUUAUUGGUUUUACGGAUCGGUGUAAUGAUUAAAAGGAACAAACGGGGGCAUUCGUAUCGUUGCGUGAGAGGUGAAAUUCAUGGACCGUAGCGAGACGAACUACUGCGAAGGCAUUUGCCAAGAAUGUUUUCAUUAAUCAAGAACGAAAGUCAGAGGUUCGAAGGCGAUCAGAUACCGCCCUAGUUCUGACCGUAAACUAUGCCAUCUAGCGAGCAUCGGGCGGAUUAAAUGCCCUUGAUGCGAGCUUCCCGGAAACGAAAGUCUUCCGGUUCCGGGGGAAGUAUGGUUGCAAAGCUGAAACUUAAAGGAAUUGACGGAAGAGCACCACAAGAAAUGGAGCUUGCGGCUUAAUUUGACUCAACACGGGGAAACUCACCCGGCCCGGACACCGUUUGGAUUGACAGAUUGAAAGCUCUUUCAUGAUUUGGUGGUUGGUGGUGCAUGGCCGUUCUUAGUUCGUGGAUUGAUUUGUCUGGUUUAUUCCGAUAACGAGCGAGACUUAAGCCAAAGUUAAAUAGUCGAGUUAUUAUUAUAGUAGCGAGACUUCUUAACGGGAUUUUCGGCGUUUAGCCGUACGAAACUGAGCGAUAACAGGUCUGUGAUGCCCUUAGAUGUCCGGGGCUGCACGCGUGCUACACUGACAAGUGCAGUGCGUGCUAUCCAUUCUCGUUAGAGAUUGGUAAACGUGUCAAAUUUUGUCGUGAUUGGGAUUGGAGAUUGCAAUUAUUCUCCAUGAACGAGGAACUUCUAGUAAGUGCGAGUCAUCAGCUCGCGCUGAUUACGUCCCUGCUCUUUGUACACACCGCCCGUCGCUGCCCGGAACUGAGUUGAUUCGAGAAGAUCGGGGAUUGCUGGUUAAUCGUUCUUCGGGACGAUUUUCUGGUGCUAACCGAUUUGAUCGCAUUGGCUUGAACCGGGCAAAAGUCGUAACAAGGUAGC